GAUGAACGCUAGCUACAGGCUUAACACAUGCAAGUCGAGGGAACGACGCACGGGUGAGUAACACGUAUCUAACUUGCCCUUUAAUCGGGGAUAGCCUAUUGAAAGAAAGAUUAAUACACGAUAUAAAGAAUGGGGAUGCGUGCCAUUAGGUUGUUGGUGAGGUAACGGCUCACCAAGCCUUCGAUGGAUAGGGGUUCUGUGAGUAAGGUCACUGACAUUGAAACGGGGACACGGUCCAAACUCGUACGGGAAGCAGCAGUGAGUAAUAAUGGUCAAGAGGCGCUAGCCUGAAACAGCCAAGUAGCGUGAAGUGUGAAGGCUCGUGGGUCGUAAACUUCUUUUAUAUAAGAAUAGGUAUUAUAUGAGUAAGGAUCGGCUAACGCCGUGCCAGCAGCCGCGGUAAUUC
This 406-nucleotide ribosomal RNA is filed under the name uncultured bacterium. RNAcentral's name for it is "partial 16S ribosomal RNA". It matches the Rfam family "Bacterial small subunit ribosomal RNA", at positions 28 to 526 of the family's 1533-position model. The record is from RNAcentral.